GACGAACGCUGGCGGCGUGCCUAAUACAUGCAAGUCGAACGCAGUGGGGACGGGUGAGUAACACGUGGGUAACCUCCCAUCAGAGGGGAUAACACUUGGAAACAGGUGCUAAACCGAUACUGAUGGAUGGACCCGCUGUGCAGUAGUUGGUUGGUGGGGUAACGGCUCACCAAGGCCACGAUGCAUAGCCGACCGGAGGGAGUGAUCGGCCCCUCGGGGACUGAAACCCGGCCCAGACUCCUACGGGGGGCAGCAGUAGGGAAUCUUCGGCAAUGUACGAAGUUCUGACCGAGAAACGCCGCGUGAGUGAAGCAGGUUUUCGGAUCGUAAAACUCUGUUGUUAGAGAAGCGGUAUCUAACCAGAAAGCCACGGCUAACUACGUGCCAGCCGCCGCGGUAAUAC
RNAcentral lists this ribosomal RNA (403 nucleotides) under uncultured bacterium. RNAcentral describes it as "partial 16S ribosomal RNA". It matches the Rfam family "Bacterial small subunit ribosomal RNA", at positions 28 to 526 of the family's 1533-position model. The record is from RNAcentral.